RNAcentral lists this ribosomal RNA (600 nucleotides) under uncultured bacterium. RNAcentral's name for it is "bacterial SSU rRNA". It matches the Rfam family "Bacterial small subunit ribosomal RNA", at positions 883 to 1482 of the family's 1533-position model. The record is from RNAcentral.
CGGUCGCAAGAUUAAAACUCAAAGGAAUUGACGGGGACCCGCACAAGCGGUGGAUGAUGUGGAUUAAUUCGAUGCAACGCGAAAAACCUUACCUACCCUUGACAUGUCCGGAAUCCUGAAGAGAUUUGGGAGUGCUCGAAAGAGAACCGGAACACAGGUGCUGCAUGGCUGUCGUCAGCUCGUGUCGUGAGAUGUUGGGUUAAGUCCCGCAACGAGCGCAACCCUUAUCAUUAGUUGCCAUCAUUUAGUUGGGCACUCUAAUGAGACUGCCGGUGACAAACCGGAGGAAGGUGGGGAUGACGUCAAGUCCUCAUGGCCCUUAUGGGUAGGGCUUCACACGUCAUACAAUGGUCGGUACAGAGGGUUGCCAACCCGCGAGGGGGAGCUAAUCUCACAAAGCCGAUCGUAGUCCGGAUCGCAGUCUGCAACUCGACUGCGUGAAGUCGGAAUCGCUAGUAAUCGUGGAUCGGCAUGUCACGGUGAAUACGUUCCCGGGUCUUGUACACACCGCCCGUCACACCAUGGGAGUGGGUUCCACCAGAAGUAGGUAGUCUAACCGCAAGGAGGGCGCUUACCACGGUGGGGUUCAUGACUGGGGUG